UACGGAGGGGGUUAGCGUUGUUCGGAAUGACUGGGCGUAAAGCGCGCGUAGGCGGAUCAUCAAGUCGGGGGUGAAAUCCCGGGGCUCAACCCCGGAAUGGCCUUCGAGACUGCUGGUCUUGAGUUCGAGAGAGGUGAGUGGAAUUCCGAGUGUAGAGGUGAAAUUCGUAGAUAUUCGGAGGAACACCAGUGGCGAAGGCGGCUCACUGGCUCGACACUGACGCUGAGGUGCGAAAGCGUGGGGAGCAAACAGG
This 253-nucleotide ribosomal RNA is filed under the name uncultured bacterium. RNAcentral describes it as "partial 16S ribosomal RNA". It matches the Rfam family "Bacterial small subunit ribosomal RNA", at positions 524 to 776 of the family's 1533-position model. The record is from RNAcentral.